Molecule: small nucleolar RNA, 78 nt
Organism: Anolis sagrei ordinatus
Lineage: Eukaryota; Metazoa; Chordata; Lepidosauria; Squamata; Anolidae
Product: small nucleolar RNA SNORD5
Source: RefSeq, a predicted model, not a curated record
GUUCUUGUGAUGAUUGUUUUCUAGUUCAACUGCUGAGUGAUUCCAGAAAUGAACUAAAACUUUAAUAAUCUGAUUGGA